CCUCCCUUUACCUCUAUCUCGUCUCUCAUCCCCCAGCUUUCUCUCUCUCUCAACUCCGGCCAUAGAAACACGCCCUCCCUCUGUCCUCCGCGGCCGCAGCAACGACAGCCACCAAGCUCGUCACACUUCCCUCGUCUCCCUUCCCUCGUCUCCCUCUCCCCCAUCUCUCAAUUCUUAUGAAGAAGACACAAAGCCCCAAAUUUACUCACAAAAUCGUGCCCUAGCUGCUCCUCCGGCGAAUCGCCGCCGCCAGUGGAGGGUCGGCGAGGUGCAGCCCUUCCCUCUCUCUUCCUCUUCACUCAAUACUUCUCAUUUUCUCAAACUCCCAACCUCAAAAUCGUACCGAGCCCUAAUUAUUUCUCUCUACCUGAACCCAGCGAUGUCACCGCGGUUCCAGUUCGAUGUACCGUCGUGCCAUCGACUUGGGUUCCACAGAUUGUGUUUUGCUUCAAAGAAAAUCAGUAAGGGCUGUCGUCGACGCUAGGUCCUGAAACGGUGAGGUUCGCCGUUCUAACUUGAUGGGAACAGGGCAGUCGGGCUUCCUAAGAGCUAAGUCUUACUCUUGUCUCAUUUCUUAUCCAUUGUGAUAUAGUAUCAAUGUAAGCAUGUUGACUUCUUUGAGUAAGAAAAUAUCAGAACUUAACAUCUAUCAGUGUGAGUAUGUCGUGGCUAAAAUUUAUGUUCGAUUUGUGCUAUGUGGUCCCUUUUGCUUGUCAGUAAAAUCUGUUGAAUUUAUAAAAAAUUUACUAGGAUUUUAGGUGGUAGAAACCAUAGAUUUUGGGGAUUUUUUUUUUCUCUCAAAUUCAACAUAUAUGCGAAAGGUAAAACACCCUACUUUUUCAAGUGUCCUUAUCUCUUUGCGUCGAUGCUUAAUUAGUUCUUUUAGUUGUUUACCAAUGCAUCCAUGCACAGGUAGUCAGGUACCUCUUGUUAUUUAACCAUAAUAUUUGACCUGAAGGUGGGGAGUAAUCAUUGUUUGCAUUGCUGGAUAUCUAUUUUCUCUGAGAAUGACUAAUCUUUAGUUGCUUCAGGUUGUUUCUGCAAUGGUAAACAAUGACUUAAUGAGCAUAGCAAACACCAGGCCUCUGAAAUCAUGGAAGGAAACCCUUGCUCUCUUUUGUACAGUUAACUUAGUGAAUGAUGGUCUGGUGACAAUGCAGCUUGAAUAAAGGGAAUCAUCUUAAAUAGUUGCAAUAAAGAUCAAGAGCCAUUAUUAUUAGUAUGAGGGAGGGUUGUCAUUCUCCCAGUCACAACCACAGAGGAGGAACCAUGGCUGGAGCCCUGAUGUUGCUGCUUCCCCUUCUCUUUCCAACUCUUUUCACUCCUUUCAGCCAUGCCUUUCCCUCAGUUCUCUCGUUGAUUCAUGCAUGCAUUCUGUAUCUCUUGCCCUUGAGAAGGCCCUGAAGGAUACAAGGGAGGGAGUAUCUGCUUCCUGUUGGAAUCAUAUUAAAGCGCUAGCACUGAAGAGUAAAGAAGAGUUUGGAACAGCAUACUUGGCGCCGGUGGCGAUGCUUUUGAGCAUGAGGCAACUAGAAGAAUGCGUAAUAAAUUUAUGGUAGCUUGGGAUGGCUUGAGGUCAAAAGACAACCAGAGAAUCAUAGCAGGUUGAUUAACUAGUUCUUGAGGACUUGGUGCUAGAAACAUUGUAUGAUAGAUUUUUGUUUUAGCUAUAAGGUAGUUGGUAUACUUGAUAUUUGGUUCAUUUGUAUAAUAAUGUAUGAAUUUUUUGGAUGA
Molecule: long non-coding RNA, 1734 nt
Organism: Salvia miltiorrhiza (redroot sage)
Lineage: Eukaryota; Viridiplantae; Streptophyta; Magnoliopsida; Lamiales; Lamiaceae
Exons: 6
Source: RefSeq, a predicted model, not a curated record